GAGCAGGGCGCCUAGGGUUCCGCAGCGGCAGAGCCGCAUGGUCAGGUCCGAGAGGCGCCGCCGGCGCGGCCACAUCCGCGCGGGUACACGGCGGGGCAAAAUCCCGGGAGAG
This 112-nucleotide small RNA is filed under the name Paracoccaceae bacterium. RNAcentral describes it as "Rhodobacteraceae bacterium Guanidine-I sequence". It matches the Rfam family "Guanidine-I riboswitch aptamer". From Rfam's summary of the family: This family represents a conserved RNA structure found upstream of the ykkC and yxkD genes in Bacillus subtilis and related genes in other bacteria. The function of this family is unclear although it has been suggested that it may function to switch on efflux pumps and detoxification systems in response to harmful environmental molecules. Lineage: Bacteria; Pseudomonadati; Pseudomonadota; Alphaproteobacteria; Rhodobacterales; Paracoccaceae. The record is from RNAcentral.